CGUGCGCAACACGAGACACAGUGUGCAGUUGGGCUCAACUCCAUGGCAGGCCAAGGCCGUGUGUGCCGUCCGUCGUCCUGGUAGAAGUGUGAAUUAGCCGUGGAGGGCGCGGCAUAAGUCUGAUGUUGAACUCUGUAUAUGAGAUGCUGGUGUACGUGUCACCAGCAAGCUUUUUGUCGUAUUUGUUCAAAGGCCCAGCCAAACGGUAGCAGCCAAUGUUGCCUUCUCUAUGAUCCACUCUAGGUGUAGAAUUUCUCUGGACAAUGCACCGUUUCGAGUACUCAAGGAAACCGUCAAAGUCUGCAUAUUUGGAACGGAAUACUAUAAGAAGACUCCAGAGAAAAGACAAAAAGGAUCUGGACUCGAGUGCCACUGGCUGGCCGAAGGAGGCAUACAAGAUUCAAAUGCCACUGUCUGGCCGAAGGAUGAGCACAAGAAAAAAAAAUUACAGCAUAUCCACGGGGUGAAUCAUGAAGAGUGGGGCGAAGCUCUUUAACAUUAAAGAUACCGCGGCCCACACCUCAAAUGAAACUUGUGAGUAACGUGUCAUUUAAACAAUGUUUAUUAUUUUAAAUGUCGCUCAUUAUUCCCA
This 592-nucleotide unclassified non-coding RNA is filed under the name Rhipicephalus microplus (southern cattle tick). Its description in RNAcentral is "uncharacterized LOC119176453, transcript variant X5". Lineage: Eukaryota; Metazoa; Arthropoda; Arachnida; Ixodida; Ixodidae. The record is from RNAcentral.